AAUCUUCUGCAAUGGACGAAAGCCUGACGGAGCAACGCCGCGUGAGUGAUGAAUGUCUUCGGAUUGUAAAACUCUGUUGUCAGGGAAGAAACCCUGGGAUGGACUCUCACCGUGACGGUACCUGACGAGAAAGCCCCCGCAAACUACGUCCCCGCAGCCGCGGUUAUACGUAGGGGGCAAGCGUUGUCCGGAAUAAUUGGGCGUAAAGCGCGCGCAGGCGGCUUCUUAAGUCUGAUGUGAAAUCCCACGGCUCAACCGUGGACGGUCAUUGGAAGCUGGGGAGCUUGAGUGCAGGAGAGGAGGGUGGAAUUCCUGGUGUAGCGGUGACAUGCGUAGAGGUCAGGAGGAACACCGAUGGCGAAGGCAGCUCUCUGGCCUGUAACUGACGCUGAGGCGCGAAGGCGUGGGGGGCAAACA
RNAcentral lists this ribosomal RNA (417 nucleotides) under uncultured bacterium. RNAcentral's name for it is "partial 16S ribosomal RNA". It matches the Rfam family "Bacterial small subunit ribosomal RNA", at positions 360 to 774 of the family's 1533-position model. The record is from RNAcentral.